UACGGGGGAUGCAAGCGUUAUCCGGAAUUAUUGGGCGUAAAGGGUCCUGAGGUGGCUAGCCAAGUCUAUUGUGAAAUAUCAGGGCUUAACCCUGAACAUGCGGUGGAAACUAGAAAGCUUGAGUACAGUAGGGGCGGAGGGAAUUUCCGGUGGAGCGGUGAAAUGCAUAGAUAUCGGGAAGAACACCAACGGCGAAAGCACUCCGCUGGGCUGAUACUGACACUGACAGACGAAAGCUAGGGUAGCGAAAGGG
Molecule: ribosomal RNA, 253 nt
Filed under: uncultured bacterium
Lineage: Bacteria
Description: partial 16S ribosomal RNA
Rfam family: Bacterial small subunit ribosomal RNA
Source: RNAcentral